Molecule: ribosomal RNA, 467 nt
Filed under: uncultured bacterium
Lineage: Bacteria
Description: partial 16S ribosomal RNA
Rfam family: Bacterial small subunit ribosomal RNA
Source: RNAcentral
GACGAACGCUGGCGGCGUGCUUAGCACAUGCAAGUCGAACGGAAAGGCUCCAGCUUGCUGGAGUACUCGAGUGGCGAACGGGUGAGUAACACGUGGGUAAUCUGCCCUGCACUCUGGGAUAAGCCUGGGAAACUGGGUCUAAUACUGGAUAUGACCUUUCUCCUUAUGGGGUUUGGUGGAAAGUUUUUCGGUGUAGGAUGAGCCCGCGGCCUAUCAGCUUGUUGGUGGGGUGAUGGCCUACCAAGGCGACGACGGGUAGCCGGCCUGAGAGGGUGAUCGGCCACAUUGGGACUGAGAUACGGCCCAGACUCCUACGGGAGGCAGCAGUGGGGAAUAUUGCACAAUGGGCGGAAGCCUGAUGCAGCGACGCCGCGUGAGGGAUGACGGCCUUCGGGUUGUAAACCUCUUUCAGCAGGGACGAAGCGUAAGUGACGGUACCUGCAGAAGAAGCACUGGCUAACUAGGUG